UAGACCGCCUGGGGAGUACGGCCGCAAGGUUAAAACUCAAAUGAAUUGACGGGGGCCCGCACAAGCGGUGGAGCAUGUGGUUUAAUUCGAUGCAACGCGAAGAACCUUACCUGGUCUUGACAUCCACGGAAGUUUUCAGAGAUGAGAAUGUGCCUUCGGGAACCGUGAGACAGGUGCUGCAUGGCUGUCGUCAGCUCGUGUUGUGAAAUGUUGGGUUAAGUCCCGCAACGAGCGCAACCCUUAUCCUUUGUUGCCAGCGGUCCGGCCGGGAACUCAAAGGAGACUGCCAGUGAUAAACUGGAGGAAGGUGGGGAUGACGUCAAGUCAUCAUGGCCCUUACGACCAGGGCUACACACGUGCUACAAUGGCGCAUACAAAGAGAAGCGACCUCGCGAGAGCAAGCGGACCUCAUAAAGUGCGUCGUAGUCCGGAUUGGAGUCUGCAACUCGACUCCAUGAAGUCGGAAUCGCUAGUAAUCGUGGAUCAGAAUGCCACGGUGAAUACGUUCCCGGGCCUUGUACACACCGCCCGUCACACCAUGGGAGUGGGUUGCAAAAGAAGUAGGUAGCUUAACCUUCGGGAGGGCGCUUACCACUUUGUGAUUCAUGACUGGGGUGAAGUCGUAACAAGGUAACCGUAGGGGAACCUGCGGUUGGAUCACCUCCUUACCUUAAAGAA
Molecule: ribosomal RNA, 678 nt
Filed under: Salmonella enterica subsp. enterica serovar Anatum
Lineage: Bacteria; Pseudomonadati; Pseudomonadota; Gammaproteobacteria; Enterobacterales; Enterobacteriaceae
Also listed under: 1 other name
Description: bacterial SSU rRNA
Rfam family: Bacterial small subunit ribosomal RNA
Source: RNAcentral